AAAUGCAAAGUAAUUGUGAUAAAGUCAAGAUAAAGUUCACUUUUAAACUGAACUAAAUAAGGUAUCUGAGAGACAACAAUGGUUAAAUGCAAUACAAUGUACAGGUUUUACUAGCGAAAUGAAAAUUUUCCUGUCCUGUCUGCUGUAAUCAUUUUAUAUCUGGUAAGUUACAAUUACAACAGUAACGAUUUUUGAAGAUGUUAACAUUUUAAUCUUAUAGGAAAACCAGCCGACUUAAUCGAUAAUAGCAAUCUCCAGAUUGGGUUCCUUCAAUAAAUAUGGUCUAUAAACACAAUGAAAUAAGUUCCCCAAAAUCUAAAAUGGAGUGGUAUCAAAGGAGAAUUAAAGGGAAAAAUAUUCAUAUUGAAAUUAUUUAUAAGGCACUGGACUGUCUUAAAUUCUACAAUAAUACUAGAAUCAGCUGAGAGAAGUGGUCUACAAAAAACCAGGAAGGAAACGGAAUAUGUGGCUACGAAAGGCAAAAGAAAGGUUUACAAAGCAAAUGUGACACAUCUUUUUGAAAUAUUUAGGAAUAUCAGUAAAUUGCAUUGAAAAAAUGUAUGAAAAGAUUUUGUUCAAUAAAAAUGUUUAUAUUUA
This 597-nucleotide long non-coding RNA is filed under the name Diabrotica virgifera virgifera (western corn rootworm). Its description in RNAcentral is "uncharacterized LOC126880178". Lineage: Eukaryota; Metazoa; Arthropoda; Insecta; Coleoptera; Chrysomelidae. The record is from RNAcentral.